GCUUGUCUCAAAGAUUAAGCCAUGCAUGUCUUAGUGUAAAUAACUCUUAUGAAACUGCGAAUGGCUCAUUAUAUCAGUUAUAGUUUAUUUGAUGGUCCUUGCUACUUGGAUAACCGUAGUAAUUCUAGAGCUAAUACAUGCAAAAAGCCUGGACUUCUGGAACAGGCGUAUUUAUUAGAUGGAAACCAAUGCAGGGCAACCUGGAAUAUGGUGAUUCAUAAUAACUCGCGGAUCGGUUUACCGAUGCAUCAUUCAAGUUUCUGCCCUAUCAGCUUUGGAUGGUAGGGUAUUGGCCUACCAUGGCUUUAACGGGUAACGGAGAAUUAGGGUUCGAUUCCGGAGAGGGAGCCUGAGAAAUGGCUACCACAUCCAAGGAAGGCAGCAGG
RNAcentral lists this ribosomal RNA (386 nucleotides) under uncultured Chrysophyceae. RNAcentral describes it as "partial small subunit ribosomal RNA". It matches the Rfam family "Eukaryotic small subunit ribosomal RNA", at positions 30 to 432 of the family's 1831-position model. Lineage: Eukaryota; Chrysophyceae. The record is from RNAcentral.